UACGUAGGGUGCGAGCGUUGUCCGGAAUUAUUGGGCGUAAAGGGCUCGUAGGCGGCCAACUAAGUCGGAUGUGAAAUCCCCAGGCUUAACCUGGGAACUGCAUCCGAUACUGGAUGGCUUGAAUCCGGGAGAGGGAUGCAGAAUUCCAGGUGUAGCGGUGAAAUGCGUGAUGAUACUCGGUGAGGAAUACCGGUGGCGAAGGCGGCAUCCUGGACCGGCAUUGACGCUGAGGCGCGAAAGCCAGGGGGAGCAAACGGG
RNAcentral lists this ribosomal RNA (258 nucleotides) under uncultured bacterium. Its description in RNAcentral is "partial 16S ribosomal RNA". It matches the Rfam family "Bacterial small subunit ribosomal RNA", at positions 524 to 776 of the family's 1533-position model. The record is from RNAcentral.